RNAcentral lists this ribosomal RNA (273 nucleotides) under uncultured bacterium. RNAcentral's name for it is "partial 16S ribosomal RNA". It matches the Rfam family "Bacterial small subunit ribosomal RNA", at positions 524 to 796 of the family's 1533-position model. The record is from RNAcentral.
UACGGAGGGUGCAAGCGUUAUCCGGAUUCACUGGGUUUAAAGGGUGCGUAGGUGGGCUGGUAAGUCAGUGGUGAAAUCCCCGAGCUUAACUUGGGAACUGCCAUUGAUACUAUCAGUCUUGAAUACCGUGGAGGUCAGCGGAAUAUGUCAUGUAGCGGUGAAAUGCUUAGAUAUGACAUAGAACACCAAUUGCGAAGGCAGCUGGCUACACGAAUAUUGACACUGAGGCACGAAAGCGUGGGGAUCAAACAGGAUUAGAAACCCCAGUAGUCC